GCCUGUAAAACAGACCCGAUUUAUGUACGACAUGAGAAUAAUGCUGUUACUCUUUUAAGACGUUAUCCUUGGUGAUUCCGCUUGUUCGAGAACCCUCUUCUUAGUGCCACCCAUAAGUUAGUUUCUGCAUUCGGCCUAACCCCCCGAUGGGGCAAUUUCAGUUAAAAUUUAAGGUAAUUCAAAUGUCUAAGAAGACUGGUCAGGUAAAGUGGUUUAACGAAAGCAAAGGCUUCGGCUUUAUCGAGCAGCAUGACGGCGGUAAAGAUGUAUUCGUACAUUUCUCUGCCAUCACCGGUGACGGUUUCAAAACGUUGGCUGAAGGCCAGCGUGUAGAGUACACCAUUCAGGACAGCCCGCGCGGGCCGGCUGCCGCCAACGUCGUCGCUCUGUAAUUAC
RNAcentral lists this small RNA (396 nucleotides) under Edwardsiella tarda. RNAcentral describes it as "cspA thermoregulator". It matches the Rfam family "cspA thermoregulator", at positions 1 to 377 of the family's 428-position model. Lineage: Bacteria; Pseudomonadati; Pseudomonadota; Gammaproteobacteria; Enterobacterales; Hafniaceae. The record is from RNAcentral.